RNAcentral lists this ribosomal RNA (200 nucleotides) under uncultured bacterium. RNAcentral's name for it is "partial 16S ribosomal RNA". It matches the Rfam family "Bacterial small subunit ribosomal RNA", at positions 8 to 213 of the family's 1533-position model. The record is from RNAcentral.
AGAGUUUGAUCAUGGCUCAGAUUGAACGCUGGCGGCACGCUUAACACAUGCAAGUCGAGCGGUAACAUGAUUAGUAGCAAUACUAAUUGAUGACGAGCGGCGGACGGGUGAGUAAUACGUAGGAACCUAUCCUUGAGAGGGGGACAACCAAGGGAAACUUUGGCUAAUACCGCAUAAACUCGAGAGAGCAAAGCAGCCCG